ACAACAUUCGGAACAUCGGUCUAUCGAACAAUAUCAUCCGUUCGGUGGUAAAUCUUUCCUUUGUCGU
RNAcentral lists this microRNA precursor (67 nucleotides) under Bombyx mori (domestic silkworm). RNAcentral's name for it is "mir-2774 microRNA precursor family". It matches the Rfam family "mir-2774 microRNA precursor family". The record is from Rfam by way of RNAcentral. Lineage: Eukaryota; Metazoa; Arthropoda; Insecta; Lepidoptera; Bombycidae.